This 255-nucleotide ribosomal RNA is filed under the name uncultured bacterium. Its description in RNAcentral is "partial 16S ribosomal RNA". It matches the Rfam family "Bacterial small subunit ribosomal RNA", at positions 526 to 779 of the family's 1533-position model. The record is from RNAcentral.
CGGAGGGUGCGAGCGUUGUCCGGAUUUAUUGGGUUUAAAAGGGUGCGUAGGCGGCCGUUUAAGUCUGGGGUGAAAGCCCGCUGCUCAACAGCGGAACUGCCCUGGAUACUGGAUGGCUUGAGUACAGACGAGGUUGGCGGAAUGGACAGAGUAGCGGUGAAAUGCAUAGAUACUGUCCAGAACCCCGAUUGCGAAGGCAGCUGACUAGGCUGUUACUGACGCUGAGGCACGAAAGCGUGGGGAGCGAACAGGAUU